Molecule: ribosomal RNA, 253 nt
Filed under: uncultured bacterium
Lineage: Bacteria
Description: partial 16S ribosomal RNA
Rfam family: Bacterial small subunit ribosomal RNA
Source: RNAcentral
UACAGAGGGUGCAAACGUUGCUCGGAAUUAUUGGGCGUAAAGCGCGUGUAGGCGGCUUGUUAAGUCGGUUGUGAAAACCCAUGGCUCAACCAUGGAAGGGCGUCCGAAACUGGCAAGCUAGAGUCCCGACGAGGAUGGCGGAAUUCCCAGUGUAGAGGUGAAAUUCGUAGAUAUUGGGAGGAACACCGGUGGCGAAGGCGGCCAUCUGGGAGGGCACUGACGCUGAGACGCGAAAGCGUGGGGAGCGAACAGG